UAAAAAAGUAAUUUAUUUGUAAACAUUUUUAAAGUACUUGUUACAAAACUCUGUGCACAUGUAAAAAAAUAUAGUAAGUGCUCGAACCAAAAAAUUACCGUAAUACGUGAAAAAAAUAAUUUAAAUAUACUCGAAAAUAAAAUUCAAAUAUUUGUAUAAAUUUUUAUAGUGUUUGUAAAAAAUUCUGUGUGCUUGGCAUUCUCCUUCUUUUGAUUAUUUAGUUUGUUGUUGUUUUUAAGAAGUUUAGUCAUGUUUGUAAAGGAUUUAACGUAUUAGUUUAAAAGUGUUGCAUAAUUGUAAAAAAUACGUGUCAAUUAAAAAACUUUAAAAAGUAUUUAAUUCAAGACUUCAUAUAAUUAAUUUGAUACAUCUUUAUAUUUCUUUUAUUCUUUCUUACCUUCAAUUGGUUGCUUUUUGUACAUACUUCUUUCUACAACAAAAAACGUUAAAAAUCGUAGAAGAUGGAAAAGUGAAAAGAUGCAUCUUUACACUACAACCAAGAAUUCUGCUAUGACAAAUAGUCUACAUUGAUAUGAGUGGUUACGCUCACGCCGCAAAGCCACUGGUCCGAGUAGACGUGGACCAGUUUUUUUAGUUUUGUUUAUUAUUUUUUUAGUAAAAAACACACCAUUUAUUAAACUACGCAUUCCAAGCGAGGUUAAAAAUCUAGUAAACCUACACACUCGUCGAGAGUCGUUUUUGUUGUUUAGUACAGUCUUGUCACGCACUUGUGAUUUGUAAAAAUGUCUGGGACUUAAACAGAAAAAACGGCUCUCGAUGAGUCUAAAAGUUUAUCAACCCUUUAACCUCCCUUGGAGCACGUAGUUUAAUAGAUGGUGUGUAAAAAAAACUUACCUUAAAAAGAUCAUAAACAAAACUUAACAAAAGCAGUCCCGUCCACGUCGACUCGGGCCCGAGUCUUCACCUAAUGGCGUGGUUAUGUUUCAAGAAAGUGGGUUAUUUACAAAAACACACGCGUUGAUUCUGGUAAAAAGACGAGAAAGUAACAUUUUAGAAUCAGUCGUCUCGGCCGUACCCUCUGUUCUGUGUGUUCCA
This 1056-nucleotide ribosomal RNA is filed under the name Triticum aestivum (bread wheat). Its description in RNAcentral is "partial small subunit ribosomal RNA". Lineage: Eukaryota; Viridiplantae; Streptophyta; Magnoliopsida; Poales; Poaceae. The record is from RNAcentral.